GAGUAAUAAGAAUAGUUUUUUAUUGAUUCAAAUUACCAUAUUGCCCCUCAUUUUCAUCUCCUUUCCAAACAAGAGAAAUUAGGAUGUUCUCCCAUUUUCUCUUUCUCCCUUCAAUUUCACCCCUUUCCAGAUAGGCUCUUUAUAUUGCUUAAAAAGAGAAUGGAAAAAAUAGUAAAGAAUAGGAGGUGGAGGGAGAAAUCAGAAUUUUCACUGAAUUCAAAUGCACAAUUUAAGAUCAAUCAAUAAUGAGAUAGUUGCGUAAUAUGCAACACAGGUCUCACAUUAUUUUUGGUGUUUAUGCAAAUUAAUGACUGGAGAUAUCUUGGUUUUGGAGAAUUCAUUUGGAGCUUUUGUCCAAUGCCCAAUCGAGGAUUCUGGAAUAGGGGAUAGUUUUGAGUUCUAGUUAACAAAACAUAUUUUUCUGAAAAAGAGUGGCUAGAAAGAGGUAGUUGAUAUUGACAAUGGAAAUUUGUGUCCUUGACCCAAUUUGGCAUAUUCAUGUCAUUUAAAUAUGUACAUUCUAUCAUCUGGAAAUACUUUGAAAAGUGAAGCAUAUGAUUUAUUCUUCUUUUCUUUUGUUUUUAGUCUUAUUUUUUUCAUUCUCCUUUAGAAGUAGUGGAAUUGUGGAAAGAGUACUUGUGGAAACUGGCUAGCAAAAGGCAAUAAUAAAGGCCUGAAUUUCUUGCUUGAGCCUUGAUGUGUAUACAUAGAUUUUAGUGUCUCUUUUUAUCUAUAGUUAAUAAAUACAGCUUAAGCAUUUUUUUGAAUGCUAAUCUUGUUGAUUUUACUGAGUAUCUCAUGAAAAUGAAAUAAGCAUUUGCAUUGUUUUUGCAGUUACUUUUGUUACCUCAA
RNAcentral lists this unclassified non-coding RNA (852 nucleotides) under Hevea brasiliensis (rubber tree). Lineage: Eukaryota; Viridiplantae; Streptophyta; Magnoliopsida; Malpighiales; Euphorbiaceae. The record is from RNAcentral.